AUUUUAAGUAUAAAGAGUCGAGCCUGCCCAGUGAUGAAAUUUAACGGCCGCGGUACUCUGACCGUGCAAAGGUAGCAUAAUCAUUUGCCCUAUAAUUGAGGGCUUGUAUGAAUGGUUUGACAAGAGCAAAGCUGUCUCUCUAAAAUUUUAUAGAAUUUGGUUUCUAGGUGAAGAAACCUAGAUAUUAUUGAAAGACAAGAAGACCCUAUCGAGCUUUAAAUAAGGCUGUUAAAAAAUAUAUUUUAAAAAAUUAAUUUUAAUAGUAAAUUUUAGUUGGGGCGACUAAGGAACAUAAAAAGCUUCUUUUAUUAAGCUAAACUUAUAGGUUUUGAUCCAAAAUAUUUGAUUAAAAGAAUUAGUUACCGUAGGGAUAACAGCAUAAUCUUUUUUGAGAGUUCUUAUCGAAAAAAAGGUUUGUGACCUCGAUGUUGGACUAGGAUAUCCUAAUAGAUGCAGAAGUCUUUAAAGGUUGGUCUGUUCGACCA
RNAcentral lists this ribosomal RNA (485 nucleotides) under Falsicingula athera. Its description in RNAcentral is "partial 16S ribosomal RNA". It matches the Rfam family "Bacterial large subunit ribosomal RNA", at positions 1836 to 2587 of the family's 2925-position model. The record is from RNAcentral. Lineage: Eukaryota; Metazoa; Mollusca; Gastropoda; Littorinimorpha; Falsicingulidae.